RNAcentral lists this ribosomal RNA (253 nucleotides) under uncultured bacterium. Its description in RNAcentral is "partial 16S ribosomal RNA". It matches the Rfam family "Bacterial small subunit ribosomal RNA", at positions 524 to 776 of the family's 1533-position model. The record is from RNAcentral.
UACAGAGGUCCCGAGCGUUGUUCGGAUUCACUGGGCGUAAAGGGUGCGUAGGUGGCGAGACAAGUCGGAUGUGAAAUCUCCGGGCUCAACCCGGAAACGGCAUUGGAAACUGUCCUGCUAGAGGAUUUGAGGGGGGAUUGGAAUACUUGGUGUAGCAGUGAAAUGCGUAGAUAUCAAGUGGAACAUCAGUGGCGAAGGCGAAUCCCUGGAAAACACCUGACACUGAGGCACGAAAGCUAGGGGAGCAAACAGG